CAAUACAUAAUUUGUAUGGAGUUGGAGCAUUUGCCUACGUUUAUGGCUACGGGCGCUGUUCCAACUGCAUACAAAUUUGAGUUA
Bombyx mori (domestic silkworm) is the source of this 84-nucleotide non-coding RNA. Lineage: Eukaryota; Metazoa; Arthropoda; Insecta; Lepidoptera; Bombycidae. The record is from Rfam.